RNAcentral lists this ribosomal RNA (497 nucleotides) under uncultured bacterium. Its description in RNAcentral is "partial 16S ribosomal RNA". It matches the Rfam family "Bacterial small subunit ribosomal RNA", at positions 28 to 507 of the family's 1533-position model. The record is from RNAcentral.
GAUGAACGCUGGCGGCGUGCCUAAUACAUGCAAGUCGAGCGAACGGACGAGAAGCUUGCUUCUCUGAUGUUAGCGGCGGACGGGUGAGUAACUCGUGGAUAACCUACCUAUAAGACUGGGAUAACUUCGGGAAACCGGAGCUAAUACCGGAUAAUAUUUUGAACCGCAUGGUUCAAAAGUGAAAGACGGUCUUGCUGUCACUUAUAGAUGGAUCCGCGCUGCAUUAGCUAGUUGGUAAGGUAACGGCUUACCAAGGCAACGAUGCAUAGCCGACCUGAGAGGGUGAUCGGCCACACUGGAACUGAGACACGGUCCAGACUCCUACGGGAGGCAGCAGUAGGGAAUCUUACGCAAUGGGCGAAAGCCUGACGGAGCAACGCCGCGUGAGUGAUGAAGGUCUUCGGAUCGUAAAACUCUGUUAUUAGGGAAGAACAUAUGUGUAAGUAACUGUGCACAUCUUGACGGUACCUAAUCAGAAAGCCACGGCUAACUACGUG